GCCAAGGUAGGUGUUUGCUAGAACACAUUUAAGCAUUAGUUAUGAAAACCUGUACCUUUUGCCAAGUCUUCAACUCUUCAUUGAGCUAUCUUCACAAAAUAGUCCUAUGAAACUGAGAAAAACUGUUGGCAUGACUUGCCUCAGACUAGAGUAGGAGCAGGCUUUUGGCAUAAUCUAUUCUAAAUCUGGGGGUAAAGCAAGAACGAGAGCAUUGUGUGGAGCCUUUCUGCUGAGUUAGAUCAUCUUUAAUAACAAUGGGCUCCAUCAUGAUCUUAUGUGGGAAUCAAUAACAUUCCUUCAAAUCUGAGGCUUGCCUGCUAGUGACAAGCAGAGUGCCUGUGAUUUGGCUCAAGACGCCUAUAUGAUGCAGGUGCCAUUGAAAACGCUGCUCUUCUAAGUCCUUUGUGGCUUGUAAGUGGAGAAGAAUUUCAUCCAAAUGUUACCCUGUAAUACUGGCAUUUAAAAUUCUUAUUUAACCUUCCUCCCUUCAUCUUCCUCACCCCUUUACAGUGGAAGAAAGGCUGUUAAAAUAUUGCAAAUUAAUAAUUGGAACAUCCUGCCCCUCUUGUUCCCACUUCCUCCCCAAAUUCCUUUCCCCCUUUUCCCCAAUCCUAGUUGUCUAUCUUUUUUUUCUUCCUUACUUCCUUUUCUUUUAUUCCUCCCCACCCCACCUCCUUUAAAAAAAAAAGUCAGAAGGACAAAGCUGGUUUGUUUGGGAAAUGGACUGAUCGAAAGAAAACUUGCCGAAGUGGAAAGGUGGCUUUUAGCAUUCUGUGUUUCCAAAUAAUGAAUUUGAACACCAGGUUGGGUUAAUUAAAGUUUUUGGUAAUAAUUUACAAUUAAAUUUAUAAAUGCAGUUGUCUUGUUACAAGCCACCUUACGCAACCGCGCUGCAGGGGUGAGGAGUGGGGAGAAACCAGAAUGCUUCUGAAACUCCCACCUGUUGCUCUGAGCCCCACGCGCAUGCUAAUGCGUGGAGUGUAUGCGCAGCGUAGCUGUCUGUUUGACUGCUCAUCCAGGGAGGGAGAAGGCUUUUCAGCACCACCUAAUGUUAAAAAGGCACUAGUUUUAAGUGCAUAACUUCAUAAAUUCUGCCAACACUAUGGAUUAACCUUAUGUAGGUUUCCAGCUGAUGGACUAUGUUAAUUUUAAUCUUAGCUGAUAAAGCGAUUGGUAAUUUCUAGAACAAAUAUUUGAUAUGCUCCUAUCAAUUAUCACCCCCACCAAGCGGACAGCUAACAUGAAUUGCACUUCACUGCAGCUUUAGACAUCGGUUUAGGCUGAGACGUUGCGCCUGCCUUAGGUUGCUGACUUCUUUAUUUCAGAGCUCUGGAGACACCUAGUUUGAAAAAUGUCAUUCUGUUUUUUUUUUGUUUUUUGUUUUUUGUUUUUUGUGAGAACUUAGUAAAUCAGAAAAUACUCUUGAGUGAAAUGCAAUGUGUUUCUUUUGUAAUCAGUGCAUUUGAAAAUUCAAGCCAGCAUAUAUUCCUAGUAGAUGGAAUCAAAAUUAAGUUGUCUUUGUAGAAAGUGAAGAGCCUUUCUUCCAGCAAAAAUCCCUGCUGUAUGCAAUAGCCCUGAUUAACCCUCUCCCUUCUGCAUGUUUCCCAUGUUACAGACUUGAGACUGUCCUCAUUCCCAUAUGUAAUAGACAUCCAAAGAAUUUCAAUUGCUUUGUUGAACUUUUACUAAUGAUCUUGUUUUUAUUUUCUCUCUUGUUUUUGGUUUUUCACCAUUGAUAUUGUAUUUAGAAGGUUUCAGGUGGGUGAAACCUCCUAUUCCAUGCGUAAGGUGCCUCGCUGAAGGGAGCUCGAGGCCUGGAUCUAGGGCAGACACACAACCUCCUCCUCCUCUUCCAGCAAGGAACGCACCGAAAAGUCACAUGAUGAGAAAUAUGGUAACGGGUUUGUAACUGCCACAGCAAAACAAUUUGCCUCCAUGCCUGAAUCUUCUGUCUUGUGGCUUCAGAAACAGCUUAAAAUAAUUUUAUUUACAAGCAAGUUAUGUAAAAGAAUGUUUUAUACUAUAGCCACAAUUCUGUCAAAAAUAAGUAAAAGUUAAUUAAGAUAUUAAAAUUAUUAGAUAAUUUACUAGUAAAAGCUUCUAACUCUUCUUGUUGUUCAUUUUUUUUCCUUUUUCUUCUUUGUUUGGAUUGCAGCAUUCUGCUCUUCUGAUGAUGCGCUGUGACCCUGCAGUAGCGCAAAGGCUGCGCAGCGUUAAUGCGCAUUGCGUGCGAAUGAGCCCCUGUGAACGGUUGACUAGAUGAGUAAUCUGAUUGACUGGCUCUCUCAGUCCUAUUCUGUAGCCUUUUUGGAUAAAAUUGGGUUUUAACGUACCUUGAGUCCAACUAAUCUCAUUAAGUAAAUAUUCUCUAUGGGCCUGUCUAGUAGAUUAAUGGAUCUGGUUGGCCGUUUGCUGCGUCUAGGGGUGUUCUAUGUAGCGCAGCAGUUCGCAGCGAUUGCGCAGUGCGAUGCUGUUAGGUGGCGCCAGCGAUGUUUGCGCUCGCAUUACAGGGACCUCAACCUAGGUGCAAUCCUGUCAUGUGAGGUUUUAUUUUCUUCCUCCUCAGAAGAGAGGUGUUAUGAAUCUGAAACUUAAAGCCUAAAGGAUAAUGACCGACUUGGCAGAAAGAUUUUUUUAUGUCUUUGGCUCUUAAGAAGGAAGAACAUUGUUGAGAGCAGCAGGUCCCCCAACUUUUUGCUUUUCUGAUAAAAUGCAUGAUGAGAGAUUGAAGUCUUGUGAAAGUUGUAUAGAAAAGAAACUUUGGGGGUUGGGGAUUUAGCUCAGUGGUAGAGCGCUUGCCUAGGAAGCGCAAGGCCCUGGGUUCCGUCCCCAGCUCCGAAAAAAAGAACCAAAAAAAAAAAAAAAAAGAAAAGAAAGAAAGAAAAA
This 2886-nucleotide long non-coding RNA is filed under the name Rattus norvegicus (Norway rat). RNAcentral describes it as "long non-coding RNA NONRATT030593". The record is from RNAcentral. Lineage: Eukaryota; Metazoa; Chordata; Mammalia; Rodentia; Muridae.